This 787-nucleotide long non-coding RNA is filed under the name Solanum tuberosum (potato). RNAcentral describes it as "long non-coding RNA (STUB_LNC002824)". The record is from RNAcentral. Lineage: Eukaryota; Viridiplantae; Streptophyta; Magnoliopsida; Solanales; Solanaceae.
CAAAACGUCCCAACCUCUUUUACUACCCAACGAAAAGGAUUUUACAAAAUACAAUUGCUUUGUAAAUUGUAAUUAUAUCUUCUUCUUUUUUGUUGUCUUGAUAUUCAGAGAGUUCGACUAUUUCAAAUUCGCGCUACGCAAGAAUGGGGAAGCGCCUUAAGAUGUUAAUUAACUUGAAGCCAUGUUCACAGAAGGAGAUGGGCAGCCGGUAGAAAUGAAGCUUCAUUAUAGGAAAUGUUAUCUCCUAUAAUGAAGCUUGGAAAGAGGCAUACAAAAGGGAGCCAGGCAUAAAAUAUUACGUACUCUUUUUUUUAAAAAAAAAUUACAUUUCUUUACUCUUAUAUUUUUGCUUGUUAAUUAAACACUGAUAAUACUCACUAAUCUAGUGGGCUAUGAGUCGUUUAAUUAUUCUUAGCGCAUAUGUACGAGAUUCUUAUUGCACUUAAUUAAUUGCUUUAAUUUACUUAUUGAAUCUUCAUUCUUAUUCAUUUACGAUCUGUCUUUUCUCAUGGAUUCGCCAACGAAGCAUCAAACAUAUUCGAUGAGAUUCAUGGAGCAAUUCUUAGUAUUUUCUUUGUUUUAAUCUGUGUGAACCUUUAUUGAUCGAGUAUAAAAUGUUGUGGCUUAAUUAUUUGUCUAGUUUUUGUCAAAGUACAUGAAAUUUUAUCCUUAUUAGUAAUAUUUUAAAAUAUAAUCUUUCAUUAUUAAAUAUUUAAUUUAUUUGUAUAUCAUCUCACCAUAAUUAAAGUAUUUGUAAUUUUAAAAAAUUAUUAUUAUUGAAAACGGA